RNAcentral lists this ribosomal RNA (524 nucleotides) under uncultured bacterium. Its description in RNAcentral is "bacterial SSU rRNA". It matches the Rfam family "Bacterial small subunit ribosomal RNA", at positions 989 to 1509 of the family's 1533-position model. The record is from RNAcentral.
CCGACGAAUGUCUCAGAGACGAGGCCGGCCCGCAAGGGACGUCGGUAGAGGUGCUGCAUGGCUGUCGUCAGCUCGUGUCGUGAGAUGUUGGGUUAAGUCCCGCAACGAGCGNAACCCUCGCCUGUAGUUGCCAUCGGGUCAUGCCGGGAACUCUACAGGGACUGCCCCGGAAAACGGGGAGGAAGGUGGGGAUGACGUCAAGUCCUCAUGGCCUUUAUGUCCAGGGCUACACACGUGCUACAAUGGCCGGUACAAAGGGAUGCAAGACCGCGAGGUGGAGCGAAUCCCAAAAAGCUGGUCUCAGUUCGGAUUGUAGUCUGCAACUCGACUACAUGAAGUCGGAAUCGCUAGUAAUGGCGGAUCAGCACGCCGCCGUGAAUACGUUCCCGGGCCUUGUACACACCGCCCGUCACAUCACGAAAGUCGGUUGCUCUUGAAGUCGCUGAGCUGACCCGCAAGGGAGGCAGGCGCCUACGGAGUGAUCGAUGAUUGGGGUGAAGUCGUAACAAGGUAGGCGUAGAUGA